This is a long non-coding RNA of Nematolebias whitei (Rio pearlfish), 315 nucleotides long. RefSeq lists it as uncharacterized. The transcript has 3 exons. The record is from RefSeq and is a predicted model, not a curated record. Lineage: Eukaryota; Metazoa; Chordata; Actinopteri; Cyprinodontiformes; Rivulidae.
CAUCUUUGUGCUGCUUGCACCCAUCAGCCUCUAAAAGAAACAUGAUGUGCCCUAAAAAGACGAAACCUGGGGUCAUUCGCCCGAUGACAGCCAUUCCAAGACUGACGGUAAAGGAUGACGAUGAAUUUCGGUCCAGUCCUUGCAGGCAGGUUUGCAAACAAACCUCAGCUGACAAGAAAAAGGGCAGACAGUUCAAAAGGCGGAGAGGGGCUGACCAGACAAAAAAUCUUGACCCCCCCAUGGUGAUCAGGUGAAGAAGAGAAGCUGAGAUUAUAGGUGGGAAUAUAAUCCUGGAAGAGCAAGAAUAUACAGAGG